AAGUCGUAACAAGGUUUCCGUAGGUGAACCUGCGGAAGGAUCAUUAUUGAAUUUAAUGUAGAGUUGGUUGUAGCUGGCCUAAUUAAUAAUUUGGGCAUGUGCACACCUUCUCUUUCAUCCACACACACCUGUGCACCUGUGAGACAGAGUGGGAAUUUUAAUUUAAUUUAAUUGGACCCUCUGUCUACUUAAUUCACACAAACUCUAUUUAUUAUAAAAUGAAUGUAAUUGAUGUAACGCAUCUAAUACUAAGUUUCAACAACGGAUCUCUUGGCUCCA
RNAcentral lists this unclassified non-coding RNA (279 nucleotides) under fungal sp. RNAcentral's name for it is "partial internal transcribed spacer region". The stretch from base 1 to 46 matches the Rfam family "Eukaryotic small subunit ribosomal RNA", at positions 1786 to 1831 of the family's 1831-position model. Lineage: Eukaryota; Fungi. The record is from RNAcentral.